GUAGUCCACGCCGUAAACGUUGGGCGCUAGGUGUGGGGGACCUUCCACGUCCUCUGUGCCGCAGCUAACGCAUUAAGCGCCCCGCCUGGGGAGUACGGCCGCAAGGCUAAAACUCAAAGGAAUUGACGGGGGCCCGCACAAGCGGCGGAGCAUGUGGCUUAAUUCGAAGCGACGCGAAGAACCUUACCAAGGCUUGACAUGAAGAGUAAACCGGCAGAGAUGUCGGGUCCGCAAGGGAUUCUUCACAGGUGGUGCAUGGUUGUCGUCAGCUCGUGUCGUGAGAUGUUGGGUUAAGUCCCGCAACGAGCGCAACCCUCGUCCUAUGUUGCCAGCGGGUUAUGCCGGGGACUCAUAGGAGACUGCCGGGGUCAACUCGGA
RNAcentral lists this ribosomal RNA (378 nucleotides) under uncultured bacterium. RNAcentral's name for it is "bacterial SSU rRNA". It matches the Rfam family "Bacterial small subunit ribosomal RNA", at positions 790 to 1167 of the family's 1533-position model. The record is from RNAcentral.